Molecule: ribosomal RNA, 442 nt
Filed under: uncultured bacterium
Lineage: Bacteria
Description: partial 16S ribosomal RNA
Rfam family: Bacterial small subunit ribosomal RNA
Source: RNAcentral
CUACGGGUUGCACCAGUGGGGAAUAUUGGACAAUGGACCAAAGGUCUGAUCCAGCAAUUCUGUGUGCACGAUGACGGUCUUCGGAUUGUAAAGUGCUUUCAGUUGGGAAGAAAAAAAUGACGGUACCAACAGAAGAAGCGACGGCUAAAUACGUGCCAGCAGCCGCGGUAAUACGUAUGUCGCAAGCGUUAUCCGGAUUUAUUGGGCGUAAAGCGCGUCUAGGUGGUUUGAUAAGUCUGAUGUGAAAAUGCGGGGCUCAACUCCGUAUUGCGUUGGAAACUGUCAAACUAGAGUAUCGGAGAGGUGGGCGGAACUACAAGUGUAGAGGUGAAAUUCGUAGAUAUUUGUAGGAAUGCCGAUAGAGAAGUCAGCUCACUGGACGAAUACUGACACUGAAGCGCGAAAGCAUGGGGAGCAAACAGGAUUAGAUACCCUCGUAGUC